UAGAAUAAAGAGAUAUUAUUAGAUAUUUCAUCCUAAAUUAAAGUUGGGAUGUGGGUUUUUUUUCAGUAAGCUAAACUAUAGAAACUUAAAAAUUAAAGUGGACUUCAGAGCAUCAGAAACAUACCUUAUUUUAAAAAUUCUAACUACUUAUUUGUAAUUACUUGUUAAAUUUUAAUUAGAAAAUCAAAGUGCUUUGCAAGCACAGCUUUUAUUCUGUGAUUUUUGUACUGAAAAUAUAACCUCUGCUACUUCCUCAUUUUCUUAUCUAGUUACUCAGGUGUUGAAAACAAUAAAUCUCCUCACACACCCUUCUGAAGUUAUGAAAUAAUACCGUUAUGAAUAAUACUAAUACAGGAAAGGACCAAGAAUCUGGGAUAACUCAGAAUGCUCUUGAGAGUAAAGGUUGAAUGGAAAUUCUGACAGAAAUUAGAUUCUGAAUGCAAAUAUUUAAAGCAGUGGUUGAAUAAGAUGGAGGAGGCUGUUUACUUCCCAAGUUAAAGUUUUCAAGUGUUUCAAAUAACAGUUAAUUUUUAACACAUAGAAUCAAAGGCUAUGUUUCUUCUGCCCAGUUUAGAUGCCUGUAGUAUCUGUAUUUUCCCUGCAACAGUAGACUGAAAGUCAUUCUAAUGUCUUCAUCUCUGGUUAUUCUUAUGUACAAGACAAAAUUUCACUUGUCGUUCUUAUAUAUAAGGGUAAAUAUAAAGGCAAAUAUAGGUAAUAUUACCCAAUUCUGUCUGAUUUAAAUCUAUUCUUCUGUCUUGAAAUCUAAAUUGACCACGGUUUUAUUUCUUCCCUUUAUUAUUUACUUUCAUAUUGUAAGACCAGCAGAGCUCUUGCUAAUUGCAGGAAUUAUGCAGGAAAAUCUUCCAAGUGGAGCACAGAAAGUAUACACACAAUUUAGGCAGCCUACAAAAUUUCUUAUGCUGUGAACUUCUGAACUGUUUUAAACAAAAAGAUACUUUUUUUCUGUUGAAUAGUAAGACCACAGUUACAAAACAGUUUCUACGACUUCAGCAGUUAAGUACAUUUUCAUAGGUCCUACUCCUGUGUACUGGAACACACUGUAACAGGGACCCAGCUGCCCUCUGGCACUGACUUCAGAGUAAGGAAAAUGAGUAAACAAUAGAGUAAUAACUAGAAGAAAAUAAGUGUGCUUGAAAAGAUUUCUAGCUAAUGAAUAACAGGGCCAAAUUUCACCUGCCUUAUUAAUAUGAACAGGCAUAUCAGCCCUGGUGAAACGGUUUUGGAAGAACAAAUACUUUGGUUUUUUUUAACUUGUUAAAGGCCUGUAGAAACUAGCUGUUAGAUUUGUGAUAUUUUGUGGGGGAAAAAAGCAUGCUCAGGUGCAACUGCAGGUUUAAACAUCCUUUUGGUGGCUCCCAGACUGAGAAAAUUUGCAGGAUUAGCCUCAUCCAUACAGACCUCUCAAUUCAUCGAAUUGUUGGCAUGUGAUGUUCUUCAUGUCUUGACAGCUUCUAGCCACGAGGUUAAUACUGUAGAACAAAUGACAAAGAAUCAUCAGAAGAGUGAAUGCAACCACCACCUGUCUAAAUUCUUAUUCUUGAAAUGGAUUCAAGAAAACAAGAUAAAAACUGGAAUUACAGUAUGCAUUGAAUCCGACUGUGACUUGAGAGAAAAAUGUGAAACAUUAAAUAUUCAGAUCCAGAAUGAAAGGGAAUAAAAAUAGAAGUGUUAAAUUCUUACUUUUGGCUGUCUUCAUCUCAUACUGUUACUUUAAACUUGGUUUCCAAUCUACUGGAUUGCAACUUGUUCCUAACUACAUCUGUUAAAUUAUUAUUGAAUGAGAAAGAUCACCUAUGUAUUCCAGACAAUGAAAAGAGAUCUCCUAUUAUUUCUUCCCUUAUGAAACUUAAGUCGUUGCGCCAGUUUUCACAGCAUUUUGUAUUACUUCUAAAGCUUAAGUAACUUAUGUUACAUUCUGCAAACAUUAUGUACAAAUGUACGAUGUAUUAUGUAGAAAUAAUAAUGUGUGCAAAUGCAAAAUGAGUCUCUUCCCAUGGACUAACAAGGGCUGUGAUUUAACAAGUGGAAUAAUAAAAAAAAAAAACUUCCAUUAAAAAGAGAUACUAGAUACAGUCCAGAAUAAGUGUGUAGUUUUGGGUUUUUUUCAUUUCAGUAUUCAAUGUAGAAUAAACAACACAAAAAAUAAACUGAAAAUCAAUGAGUCCUGGAACUAUUGUUUCCACUUCCUGACCUGACUGGGAAUGAAGCACCUGGGGAAAGAAAAACACAUCUUUCUGAAGGACAUGGUUUUCUAAUAGUUUUAGCUCUGUUGACUUUUCCAUUGCUUAGUAAGUGAUGAUGAUGUGAAUGUGCAUCUCAGAAAAUGGAAAAACACUACUUAAGAUAAUUAAUACGGAGAAGAGGACACUGAGUGAGAUGGCUGUUCUUGAAAAUUGUGAGGACAACUUGAACAAGGUCCAAAAAGGAAGAAGGAUCCUACCAAGCAUGGAAAGGUCAUUCAAAAUUGUCAAGAACUACUGCAAUAAUAAGACAGAUAAAAUAGAUGAACAGUUGGGAUCAUGGAGGAUUUUAUUGCAAGAGGAAGCAGCCUGGGAUGGGAUGAACACUGGGUUGACUUCAGUCAUUCUGGACGGAGAACAUCUCCUACAUUCUAUUACUUGCAGUCUUUAUUACAGUUUAACUUUGCAUUUAUGGCUUAUAUGGUAAAGGUUAUGAAUAAAGACUUAAAGAGGAGAUGUACUGAAAAAUCAGAAAUCUAUUUCAACAGAGGAAUGAACAGAUUUCAAUUCAUCAGUUUUUUGGAUACAUGGAUGGGAAAGAAUCAAAAUAUAUGUUGUUCAGCUUUACACUUGAAGCCUGACGUUUUGCAAAAUUUUCACUAGAUGGAGCAACAGUAUCCUUCUUAAAAUGCUAGCAGUUCACCGAGCAGCUGUGCCAGGAUCUUUAAAUACGCAAGGACAUUCUGAGCUAAAUCAGUACAUAU
Long non-coding RNA from Cuculus canorus (common cuckoo), 2968 nucleotides. RefSeq lists it as uncharacterized. Lineage: Eukaryota; Metazoa; Chordata; Aves; Cuculiformes; Cuculidae. The record is from RefSeq and is a predicted model, not a curated record. The transcript has 3 exons.